GACAAGAUGGCCGAGGGGUUUAAGGCGCCAGACUUAAGAUCAAUAAUUUCUCUUCCUCCUUAAAAGGAAGAAUCUUUACUUCUGGUAUCGAAAGAUGCGUGGGUUCGAAUCCCGCUCUUGUCA
Molecule: non-coding RNA, 123 nt
Organism: Rhypophila decipiens
Lineage: Eukaryota; Fungi; Ascomycota; Sordariomycetes; Sordariales; Naviculisporaceae
Source: the annotation of a GenBank genome assembly